RNAcentral lists this transfer RNA (92 nucleotides) under Bifidobacteriaceae bacterium. RNAcentral's name for it is "tRNA-Ser". It matches the Rfam family "tRNA". From Rfam's summary of the family: Transfer RNA (tRNA) molecules are approximately 80 nucleotides in length. Their secondary structure includes four short double-helical elements and three loops (D, anti-codon, and T loops). Further hydrogen bonds mediate the characteristic L-shaped molecular structure. tRNAs have two regions of fundamental functional importance: the anti-codon, which is responsible for specific mRNA codon recognition, and the 3' end, to which the tRNAs corresponding amino acid is attached (by aminoacyl-tRNA synthetases). tRNAs cope with the degeneracy of the genetic code in two manners: having more than one tRNA (with a specific anti-codon) for a particular amino acid; and 'wobble' base-pairing, i.e. permitting non-standard base-pairing at the 3rd anti-codon position. Lineage: Bacteria; Bacillati; Actinomycetota; Actinomycetes; Bifidobacteriales; Bifidobacteriaceae. The record is from RNAcentral.
GGAGGCGUCGCAUAGAGGCCUAGUGCGCCCGCCUGCUAAGUGGGUUGGGGGUUAGUACCCCCUCGCGGGUUCAAAUCCCGCCGCCUCCGCCA